GACGUAGGGGGCGAGCGUUAUUCGGAAUCAUUGGGCGUAAAGCGCUCGUAGGCGGGCAGCCAAGUCCGGGGUGAAAUCUUUCGGCUCAACCGGAAAAUUGCCUUGGAUACUGGUUGUCUUGAGGGAGGUAGGGGCAUGUGGAACUUCCGGUGGAGCGGUGAAAUGCGUUGAUAUCGGAAGGAACGCCGGUGGCGAAAGCGACGUGCUGGACCUUCUCUGACGCUGAGGCGCGAAAGCUAGGGGAGCGAACGGG
Molecule: ribosomal RNA, 253 nt
Filed under: uncultured prokaryote
Description: partial 16S ribosomal RNA
Rfam family: Bacterial small subunit ribosomal RNA
Source: RNAcentral